GGGGAUGACCGGCUUCGAUGGAGUUUUAUUUAAAAUUUACGCAAGUAGUGGAUGGAUAAUCACCACUUAAAUCACUUGUCCAAAAUCAUAAUUGCCAACCAAAAUAGCAAUUACGCUUUUGCUUAACGCUUAAAGCGCGUUUUACUGGUGACUUCUGCUAACCAGCUAAAACGUUAUCAGCAGAAUAAGAUUCGACUGCUUUUUCAAUGUUUUAGUAGUCGGAUUCGAAAACCAUAAAAUAGAUCUUCGGCUUCUUCGUUGAGUUUUAAGCCGGAGAAAAAACAACUCAACUAAACUUGUAGUGUCAGUUUUAAACAAACUUCAGACUGGGGUUCAACUCCCCACAUCUCCACAA
RNAcentral lists this transfer-messenger RNA (355 nucleotides) under bacterium. It matches the Rfam family "transfer-messenger RNA". Rfam says of the family: Bacterial tmRNA, also known as 10Sa RNA or SsrA, is named for its dual tRNA and mRNA-like properties. Its role is to liberate the mRNA from a stalled ribosome. The record is from RNAcentral.